RNAcentral lists this ribosomal RNA (468 nucleotides) under uncultured bacterium. Its description in RNAcentral is "partial 16S ribosomal RNA". It matches the Rfam family "Bacterial small subunit ribosomal RNA", at positions 28 to 507 of the family's 1533-position model. The record is from RNAcentral.
GACGAACGCUGGCGGCGUGCUUAACACAUGCAAGUCGAACGGAAAGGCCCUGCUUUUGUGGGGUGCUCGAGUGGCGAACGGGUGAGUAACACGUGAGUAACCUGCCCUUGACUUUGGGAUAACUUCAGGAAACUGGGGCUAAUACCGGAUAGGAGCUCCUGCUGCAUGGUGGGGGUUGGAAAGUUUCGGCGGUUGGGGAUGGACUCGCGGCUUAUCAGCUUGUUGGUGGGGUAGUGGCUUACCAAGGCUUUGACGGGUAGCCGGCCUGAGAGGGUGACCGGCCACAUGGGGACUAAGGGACGGCCCAGUCGCGUACGGGAGGCAGCGGGGGGGAGUAUGGCACAGGGGGGGGGAGCGUGAUACGGCGACCCCGCGUGCGGAAUAACGGCCUUCGGGUGAAAAACCACUUUCGCCGGUGACGAAGCGUGAGUGACGGUAAUGGAUAAAGAAGCACCGGCUAACUACGUG